Molecule: transfer-messenger RNA, 352 nt
Filed under: Opitutales
Lineage: Bacteria; Pseudomonadati; Verrucomicrobiota; Opitutia
Also listed under: 1 other name
Description: Merdousia sp002437405 Standard tmRNA
Rfam family: transfer-messenger RNA
About the family: Bacterial tmRNA, also known as 10Sa RNA or SsrA, is named for its dual tRNA and mRNA-like properties. Its role is to liberate the mRNA from a stalled ribosome. To accomplish this part of the tmRNA is used as a reading frame that ends in a translation stop signal.
Source: RNAcentral
GGGGAUGUUCCGGAAUUCGACUUUGGGUUGUAGAUUAUGCUUGCACGUCGGAGACGACACUUGGCUCCGUAAAAAUGUGUCAAACAAAACAAUAAAUGGCGAAGAAUACGCUAUCGCUGCUUAAUUAAGCGGCGCGUCGGCUCUCAGACCCCCGAUAUGGGAAGCCCGGCGUCGACAUCGGGGACAGGGGUAAUCGUCGUGCAUACGGGGCGGUUGCCGCCACUUACCGCAAGCUGCCGAAACGGAGGAAGUCCCGACCGAACCGUUCCGAAAGACCAACCGGAGACUAAACGUGUAGACGGUAUAACCGAAAGCUCUCAGGACGCGGGUUCGACUCCCGCCAUCUCCACCA